AUACGUAGGGGGCGAGCGUUGUCCGGAAUGAUUGGGCGUAAAGGGCGCGCAGGCGGCUGUGUAAGUCAGUAGUGGAAGUCCAGCUUUCAAGGUUGGAAGUGCUAUUGAAACUGUACAGCUUGAGUGCAGGAGAGGUUAUCGGAAUUCCCGGUGUAGCGGUGAAAUGCGUAGAGAUCGGGAGGAACACCAGUGGCGAAGGCGGGUAACUGGACUGCAACUGACGCUGAGGCGCGAAAGUGUGGGGAGCAAACAGGAUUAGAUACCCUGGUAGUCCACACGGUAAACGAUGAAUGCUAGGUGUAGGGGGUAUCGACCCCUUCUGUGCCGGAGUCAACACAAUAAGCAUUCCGCCUGGGGAGUACGGUCGCAAGAUUAAA
RNAcentral lists this ribosomal RNA (377 nucleotides) under uncultured bacterium. RNAcentral's name for it is "bacterial SSU rRNA". It matches the Rfam family "Bacterial small subunit ribosomal RNA", at positions 523 to 898 of the family's 1533-position model. The record is from RNAcentral.